CCCCAGGAUGAAGGCCUACGGCUCAGAAAGGUAGCACAUUCGGAUAAACCUGGAUCCACCUCAGCCGUGUCCUUCAGAGAUAAUGUCACCAGUCCUCUUCCUUCUCUUCUGGUUGUAAUUGCAGCCAUUUUCAUUGGAUUCUUUCUAGGGAAAUUCAUCUUGUAGAGUGAAGCAUGCAGAGUGCUGUUUCUUUUUUCUUUUCUCUCGACCAGAAAAAGAUUUGUUUACCUACCAUUUCAUUGGUAGUAUGGCCCGCGGUGACCAUGGCCCGUGGUGACCAUUUUUUUUUGUGUGUACAGCGUCAUAUAGGCUUUGCCUUUAAUGAUCUCUUACGGUUAGAAAACACAAUAAAAACAAACUGUUCGGCUACUGGACAAAUUGUAUAUUACCAGAUCAUCACUAGCAGAUGCCAGUCGCACAUCCAGUCCUUUAUGAAAUUCAUAAUAAAGAAUUGUUCUUUCUUUGUGGUUUUAAUAAGAGUUCAAGAAUUGUUCAGUCUUGUAAAUGUUAUUUUAAUAAUCCCUUUAAAUUUUAUCUGUUGCUGUUACCUCUUGAAAUAUGAUUUAUUUAGAUUGCUAAUCCCACUCAUUCAGGAAAUGCCAAGAGGUUUUCUGUGGGGGAAAUGGUGCCUCUUACUGUGUAAAUUUUCUCCUUUACCUUUGCUAAUAUCAUGGCAGAAUUUUCUUAUCCCUUGUGAGGCAGUUUGUUGACUGAGUUUUUCAUCCUUACAAUCCUGUCCCAUGGUAUUUAACAUAAAAAAUAAAACUGUUAACAGAUUCUUGCUCGAC
RNAcentral lists this long non-coding RNA (788 nucleotides) under Rattus norvegicus (Norway rat). RNAcentral describes it as "long non-coding RNA NONRATT030354". Lineage: Eukaryota; Metazoa; Chordata; Mammalia; Rodentia; Muridae. The record is from RNAcentral.